UGGGUGACAGAGCCAGAAAGAAAAAAUAAAUAAAUAAAAAAGAAGGAAAAGGAAAUGGCAGCUCUGGGAGGCUGAGGCGGGAGGAUCCCUUGAGGCCAGAAGUUUGAGACCAGCCUGGGCAACACAGCAAGACCCCGUCUCUACAAAAAGGAAAGAGAAAGAAAAAGUUAAGAAAAUCAAGCCAGGCAUGGUGACCCUCCUAUAGUCCCAGAUACUCAGGAGGCUGAGGCAGG
This 233-nucleotide long non-coding RNA is filed under the name Homo sapiens (human). RNAcentral's name for it is "non-protein coding lnc-RAD54L2-4:1". The record is from RNAcentral. Lineage: Eukaryota; Metazoa; Chordata; Mammalia; Primates; Hominidae.